AUCCAGCUGACGAGUUCAAAAUUGGACGAAAUGCAUAUUGUCCUGAAU
Molecule: non-coding RNA, 48 nt
Filed under: Trichobilharzia regenti
Lineage: Eukaryota; Metazoa; Platyhelminthes; Trematoda; Strigeidida; Schistosomatidae
Source: RNAcentral